Molecule: non-coding RNA, 65 nt
Organism: Dipodomys ordii (Ord's kangaroo rat)
Lineage: Eukaryota; Metazoa; Chordata; Mammalia; Rodentia; Heteromyidae
Source: Rfam
GGUGGCUCAGUGGUAGAGCGCUUGCCUUGAUUGCAUGAGGCCCUGGGUUCAAUUCCUCAGCACCA